AGUGAACGCUGGCGGUAGGCCUAACACAUGCAAGUCGAACGGCAGCACAGUAAGAGCUUGCUCUUACGGGUGGCGAGUGGCGGACGGGUGAGGAAUACAUCGGAAUCUACUUUUUCGUGGGGGAUAACGUAGGGAAACUUACGCUAAUACCGCAUACGACCUACGGGUGAAAGCAGGGGAUCUUCGGACCUUGCGCGAUUGAAUGAGCCGAUGUCGGAUUAGCUAGUUGGCGGGGUAAAGGGCCACCAAGGGGGCGAUCCGUAGCGGGUCUGAGAGGAUGAUCGGACACACUGGGACUGAGACACGGUCCAGACUCCUACGGUAGGCAGCAGUGGGGAAUAUUGGACAAUGGGCGCAAGCCUGAUCCAGCCAUACCGCGUGGGUGAAGAAGGCCUUCGGGUUGUAAAGCCCUUUUGUUGGGAAAGAAAAGCAGCAGGUUAAUACCCCGCUGUUCUGACGGUACCCAAAGAAUAAGCACCGGCUAACUUCGUG
Molecule: ribosomal RNA, 492 nt
Filed under: uncultured bacterium
Lineage: Bacteria
Description: partial 16S ribosomal RNA
Rfam family: Bacterial small subunit ribosomal RNA
Source: RNAcentral